Molecule: long non-coding RNA, 1112 nt
Organism: Mauremys reevesii (Reeves's turtle)
Lineage: Eukaryota; Metazoa; Chordata; Testudines; Geoemydidae
Exons: 4
Source: RefSeq, a predicted model, not a curated record
UCAUCUGGUAAGGCAAACAGUUACAGAGAAAGACAGUGUUUUGCGAAAUGAAAAUAGUAUUGCUUUUCUUUCUCCACCCCUCCAAGAAAUAAUUACGGAUUUCCAUAAAUGUAAUGAGAGAGACCACUAGCAGAACUGGGGUAUCACCAACUGCAAUGGACAAUUUCAGCAUGCAAAUAAGACUCAUGAGCCCAACGAAACAGAUCUCGAAGAGUAAUGAAACCAUGCUUCCCAGCAAACACUGUUGAACCUCUGCGAUAAGACUACCAAGGAAAAAAAGACACCAAUACCUGCAAAUUCAGCAUGACUUUGACGAGUUUACUGCAGUAAGAAGGUGGCAGACUGCAUCGCUUGUGAAGGAUUGUUUCUAGCUCAGCACUUGGCAGUUCAUCAAAAUGCAGCUCCACAAAACGGUUCCUGAAGGCUCUGGACAACACCUAAAAUGCACAUUUUGGAAUGCUCUCUGUUAUCAUCCAGCAGUCUGUUGAGAGCCUCCAGAACAUCCGUAGGAGCCAAAUUCAGUUCAUCGAGGAUAAUCCAGUAACCCUUUCUCAUAGCAUCAAUAAGGACACCUGUGAUGGAAUACAAAAGGUUCUGAUUAAACCUUUACGGUAAUCUGCAUGAAAAUGUACAAAAAAACCCUGCAAAAGCAAGUAAUCCUUGCAGCCAGUUUUACUUCAGAUUAAAAUAAAAUUAACCCACAGCAAGAUGUGCAACAGCACUGAAGCUGUUAAACCCUUUAGCUCUCCUCUCUGUCAGUGCAAUGGACCAAAGAACAAGAGAUGGAAGAACAAAGGAAACCCUUUAACAUGAUAACCAAAGACCUGCACAACUGAACUAACAUGGCAUGAAAGCGCAUAUUUGCAUUUAUGCAACCAUGACCAGAGAAAGGAAAAGCUUUUUUCAUCUCUGCGUAACAUGUAAAAUGGAAGGGAAUUAAAGGUAAAUGUGAUAAGUGAUAACCUCACCUUCCUUAAACAUCAGCUUCCCAGAAGCGUCUGAUGUAUAACAGCCAAUGUACUCCUGGAUGUCAGUAUGUUCGUGAUUGUUAAUCCGCACACAGUGGUUCCCACUAGCUGCAGCCAACCAGCGAAUUAAACUAGUUUUACCAA